RNAcentral lists this non-coding RNA (107 nucleotides) under Krasilnikoviella flava. RNAcentral's name for it is "Promicromonospora flava Bacterial small subunit ribosomal RNA". It matches the Rfam family "Bacterial small subunit ribosomal RNA", at positions 1 to 106 of the family's 1533-position model. The record is from Rfam by way of RNAcentral. Lineage: Bacteria; Bacillati; Actinomycetota; Actinomycetes; Micrococcales; Promicromonosporaceae.
UUUACGGAGAGUUUGAUCCUGGCUCAGGACGAACGCUGGUGGCGUGCUUAACACAUGCAAGUCGAACGGUGAAGCCCAGCUUGCUGGGUGGAUCAGUGGCGAACGGG